GGAAUCUUCCACAAUGGGCGCAAGCCUGAUGGAGCAACACCGCGUGAGUGAAGAAGGGUUUCGGCUCGUAAAGCUCUGUUGUUGGAGAAGAACGUUCGUGAGAGUAACUGUUCACGCAGUGACGGUAUCCAACCAGAAAGUCAACGAUCACCACGUCCAAGCACCCGCGGUAAUACGUAGGUGGCAAGCGUUAUCCGGAUUUAUUGGGCGUAAAGCGAGCGCAGGCGGUUGCUUAGGUCUGAUGUGAAAGCCUUCGGCUUAACCGAAGAAGUGCAUCGGAAACCGGGCAACUUGAGUGCAGAAGAGGACAGUGGAACUCCAUGUGUAGCGGUGGAAUGCGUAGAUAUAUGGAAGAACACCAGUGGCGAAGGCGGCUGUCUGGUCUGCAACUGACGCUGAGGCUCGAAAGCAUGGGUAGCGAACAGG
This 426-nucleotide ribosomal RNA is filed under the name uncultured bacterium. RNAcentral describes it as "bacterial SSU rRNA". It matches the Rfam family "Bacterial small subunit ribosomal RNA", at positions 358 to 776 of the family's 1533-position model. The record is from RNAcentral.